Molecule: long non-coding RNA, 1915 nt
Filed under: Zostera marina
Lineage: Eukaryota; Viridiplantae; Streptophyta; Magnoliopsida; Alismatales; Zosteraceae
Description: long non-coding RNA (ZMAR_LNC003501)
Source: RNAcentral
UUAUUAUAAUCAAAAUCUCCGACGUGAACUGGCCGGCAGUGGAGUUGAUAAGUGCUCUGAAAAGGCAUGCAACUCAAUUCAUUAUUGCUUGUAUAUAACAGAGUAGUUCCCAAUGUUAGUUAAAUCAAAUUAAGGGCUAAUUACUUGAUUUUAUAUUAACUUAAUAUAUAUUUUUCAGGGAAAAGUUGCGCUGGUUUCGACAUAUGCACAUACAUCAACUUCAUAUAUUUAUAUUUGUCUUGGCUAUCGGCCAUGUUUUUUACUGCAUCAUCACCAUGAUUUUAGGAAGAUUAAAGGUACACAACUACACAAGACAGCCAUUGGAUUUUAAUUUAUAAGCAAAUCCUAUUAUGAGAUUAAAAAAAAAAUCGAAUUUUAAUUUCAUGUAGAUGAAGAAAUGGAAAGCUUGGGAGAUAGAGACACGAUCUGCAGAGUAUCAAUUUUCACACGGUAAUUAGUAAUUAGUUAUAUAUAGGUUAGAUCAUCAGUAAUUGAUUUUAAAAUUGCAGAUCCUGAAAGAUUUAGAUUUGCAAGGGAAACAUCAUUUGGGCGUCGACAUUUGAAUUUCUGGAGCAAAUCGCCAAUUCUUAUUUGGAUUGUAAGACACUAAAAAUAAUCGAUUAACUUUAAUUUGUGAGCUUUCAAAAAAAAAACCUUAAUUUGUGAGAUUUUUCAAACAAUUUUGAACUGUACUGCAAGUACAGGUAUGUUUUUUCAGACAGUUUGUGACAUCUGUUUCCAAAGUGGAUUACAUGACACUCAGACAUGGCUUCAUCAUGGUAAGAACUAAGAACUAAGAAAAUUUGUUCCCCUUGUUUAAUCUAGAUAACCCCUUUAAAUAAAAUGAUCAUCACUCAUCAGGCACAUUUGGCCCCAACAAGCUCUAUGAAUUUCAAUUUCCUCAAAUACAUCAAAAAAUCACUUGAAGAUGAUUUCCAAAUGGUAGUUGGAAUCAGGUAUAUUGUUAUUACAAAUGUUAUUACACAUCAAUUACACAGUAUACAUGGUCUGACCAAAUUGAUUUAAUAUUGCAGUCCACUCACAUGGUUAUUUGCUGUGCUCUUCUUGUUAUUCAAUACUCAGGGUAUGUAAAAAAUCCACAGAUCAAUACCUUCUAAUGAGAAUCAGAUCGUUGUAUAUUAGCCGUUCAUUGACUGUAAAUGUGUGGAUGAGAUCGCCCACACUAAUUUUCUUCUUCUCUGUGAAAAUUGAACAGGGUGGUAUUCAUAUUUGUGGCUUCCAUUCAUCCCAUUGGUGGUAGGUUUUCCUGGAAUUAUAACAAUAAUAAUUGAGAAAUGCAAAAUUAAAAAGAAUAGCAAUAUGUUUCAUACAAAAAUUGGCAGAUACUUCUGCUGGUGGGAACAAAGCUCCAAGUUAUCAUCACAAAAAUGGCAUUAGAGAUCAUGGAGUACGAUGACGUCGUUAAAGGUGUUCCGGUGGUUCAACCAGCUGAUAGACAUUUCUGGUUUCAUAACCCUAAACUUCUCCUCAAUCUCAUCAACUUUGUUCUUUUUGAGGUAAGCAAAUUCAUUCUCUGUUAGCUUCAAUAAAAUUCAUUCUCUGUCAAUUAUUCUUAACACAAAAUUUUGAGAACUAAAUUAAAUAUAUGUGUGUGUAAAUUUGCAGAAUGCAUUUCAACUUGCUUUCUUCAUAUUUAGUUGGGUAAGUGGGUAAUUAAUUGAUUAGUUAAAUAAAUAAAUUCAUUAAUGCAGAAUUCUAUAUAUAAAUAUGAUUAAUAACUAUCUCUAAUCUUCAUUAAUUUUAUACUAACUACUUACAGUAUAAAUUCGGACUCCAGUCUUGCUUCCAUGAAGAAACAGAGGAUAUCGUGAUCAGGAUAUCCAUGGGGUAAGUUUACCGACUGCCAUUUUUUUUUGUAUCAUUAAAUGAUUCAUCAUUAACAAAUCGAUUCCUG